Mercurialis annua (annual mercury) is the source of this 933-nucleotide RNA transcript. It is a transcript of the gene named mitochondrial inner membrane protease subunit 1-like, with no coding region annotated. The transcript is spliced from 5 exons. The record is from RefSeq and is a predicted model, not a curated record. NCBI's taxonomy places the organism in Eukaryota, Viridiplantae, Streptophyta, Magnoliopsida, Malpighiales, Euphorbiaceae.
AAAAUCUGUAUACAAAGAGGCCGGGAUUGAAAAAUCAACCGUUUUUAAAAACCGGCAAAAUGAGCCUGAGAAAUAUAUCACCAUGGAAAAGCUUUGCCAAAGAAGCACUGAGUCAAUCCAUAUUAGUAGCCAAAUUCCUCUGCUUUCUCCAUGUCACCAACACCUAUGUCUGCACAGCUGCUCUCACAUACGGUCCCAGCAUGCUUCCUACUCUUAAUCUCACCGGAGACUUAAUUCUGGCCGAGAAAAUCUCCCAUCGGAUUGGGAAAGUGGGCCCCGGUGAUAUUGUUCUUGUUCGUUCUCCUGUUAACCCUAGAAGAAUUGUCACCAAGCGUGUAAUGGGCGUUGGGGGUGAUUCAAUUACUUAUGUUGUUGAUCCCAGGAACAGUGAUAGAAGUAAUACUGUUAGGGUACCUAUGGGGCAUAUUUGGAUAGAGGGAGAUAAUGUGUAUGAUUCUCAUGACUCAAGAAAGUUUGGUGCUGUUCCUUAUGGCCUUCUACAAGCAAAAGUAUUUUUGAGGGUGAAAGACCGACUGAUUCGGGAAAACAAUAGAACGGUGGACAGCCAUCACAGGAUAAAGUAGCAUCUUAUUAAGGAGGGUCAGAAAUUAUGGGCAUCCAACAUACAUACUCUAUUAGUAAAUGACAGGUAUGGCCACCAAAAGACUUCGGACCAUUAGUACAAAAAGCAAAUUAAACGAAGAAUUGUGCAAGGUAAAGCUUCUGGCUAUUGCUUCUUUUCUCUGUCGUUCCUCGAUUGCAUGAAGCUAAUUUAACAGCUGUUCUUGAUGGAUUAUCGAGUUUUGCAUAGUUGGUAGGAAAACACAAUAGCUCUCUAUAGAUUUGGUUUUCUGUGAAGUCACUGUAUGGAGAGCUCCUCCAAAUAAUGGGGUUUUCGUUAAUUUCACUAGUAAAAGAAUUCGGUGCUCAGAA